RNAcentral lists this transfer RNA (73 nucleotides) under Canis lupus familiaris (dog). It matches the Rfam family "tRNA". Rfam says of the family: Transfer RNA (tRNA) molecules are approximately 80 nucleotides in length. Their secondary structure includes four short double-helical elements and three loops (D, anti-codon, and T loops). RNAcentral also lists the same sequence under 1 other name. Lineage: Eukaryota; Metazoa; Chordata; Mammalia; Carnivora; Canidae. The record is from Rfam by way of RNAcentral.
GUCUGGUUGGCUCAGUUGAUAGAGCAUGAGGCUCUUGAUCUCGGGGUCAUGAGUCCAAGCCCCACAUUGGAUG